RNAcentral lists this ribosomal RNA (1066 nucleotides) under Helicobacter pylori. Its description in RNAcentral is "bacterial SSU rRNA". It matches the Rfam family "Bacterial small subunit ribosomal RNA", at positions 381 to 1464 of the family's 1533-position model. Lineage: Bacteria; Pseudomonadati; Campylobacterota; Epsilonproteobacteria; Campylobacterales; Helicobacteraceae. The record is from RNAcentral.
CCCUGAAGCAGCAACGCCGCGUGGAGGAUGAAGGUUUUAGGAUUGUAAACUCCUUUUGUUAGAGAAGAUAAUGACGGUAUCUAACGAAUAAGCACCGGCUAACUCCGUGCCAGCAGCCGCGGUAAUACGGAGGGUGCAAGCGUUACUCGGAAUCACUGGGCGUAAAGAGCGCGUAGGCGGGAUAGUCAGUCAGGUGUGAAAUCCUAUGGCUUAACCAUAGAACUGCAUUUGAAACUACUAUUCUAGAGUGUGGGAGAGGUAGGUGGAAUUCUUGGUGUAGGGGUAAAAACCGUAGAGAUCAAGAGGAAUACUCAUUGCGAAGGCGACCUGCUGGAACAUUACUGACGCUGAUUGCGCGAAACCGUGGGGAGCAAACAGGAUUAGAUACCCUGGUAGUCCACGCCCUAAACGAUGGAUGCUAGUUGUUGGAGGGCUUAGUCUCUCCAGUAAUGCAGCUAACGCAUUAAGCAUCCCGCCUGGGGAGUACGGUCGCAAGAUUAAAACUCAAAGGAAUAGACGGGGACCCGCACAAGCGGUGGAGCAUGUGGUUUAAUUCGAAGAUACACGAAGAACCUUACCUAGGCUUGACAUUGAGAGAAUCCGCUAGAAAUAGUGGAGUGUCUGGCUUGCCAGACCUUGAAAACAGGUGCUGCACGGCUGUCGUCAGCUCGUGUCGUGAGAUGUUGGGUUAAGUCCCGCAACGAGCGCAACCCCCUUUCUUAGUUGCUAACAGGUCAUGCUGAGAACUCUAAGGAUACUGCCUCCGUAAGGAGGAAAAAGGUGGGGACGACGUCAAGUCAUCAUGGCCCUUACGCCUAGGGCUACACACGUGCUACAAUGGGGUGCACAAAGAGAAGCAAUACUGCGAAGUGGAGCCAAUCUUCAAAACACCUCUCAGUUCGGAUUGUAGGCUGCAACUCGCCUGCAUGAAGCUGGAAUCGCUAGUAAUCGCAAAUCAGCCAUGUUGCGGGGAAUACGUUCCCGGGUCUUGUACUCACCGCCCGUCACACCAUGGGAGUUGUGUUUGCCUUAAGUCAGGAUGCUAAAUUAGCUACUGCCCACGGCA